UUUCAAAAUUUCUUUUAUAAAGCCCAUGUUUUUGUACUGGAGAUGUAGAGAAUCAUCAGGAAGGCCUCGAGAUUCAAUCUGAAGAUUCCACAUCAAGGAGAAAUGGCCAUACUCCUAUUUUUAGGUGUACAAGCCAGUGUUUCGUCAGAGAUGGUGAUAGUCACAAGGACAGAAAAGCCCAGGAUGGAUGACACACAAGACUCACACUUUCCCAGAGAACCUUCUGCUGGCCUCCUCCCAAGUCAUGUCCCUUAGGAUCUCUCCAUCCUUCAUGACUUUUUGAUGCUGACUGCUUUAAGACUGUUCUUUAAAUAUCUAUGGAUUUCAUCAUACAUCACUCAUGUAAGUAUAUCUA
Molecule: long non-coding RNA, 355 nt
Filed under: Cyanistes caeruleus (blue tit)
Lineage: Eukaryota; Metazoa; Chordata; Aves; Passeriformes; Paridae
Description: lncRNA (ENSCCEG00000015786.1)
Source: RNAcentral